Molecule: transfer RNA, 540 nt
Filed under: uncultured Prochlorococcus sp.
Lineage: Bacteria; Bacillati; Cyanobacteriota; Cyanophyceae; Synechococcales; Prochlorococcaceae
Description: partial 16S-23S ribosomal RNA intergenic spacer
Rfam family: tRNA (bases 211-283)
Source: RNAcentral
AGGGAGACAACAAAAUGUUUAAUAUUAUUAUUUUGUCACCUUAGGUCGAUCGGUAUCUCACGUUCUUAAUUUGUUAAGAAUUUCAUUUCCUAAGUUUUUCUAGGUCACACCCAUUAUUUUUCCUGGGCCAUUAGCUCAGGUGGUUAGAGCGCACCCCUGAUAAGGGUGAGGUCCCUGGUUCAAGUCCAGGAUGGCCCAUAUCUCUAUGUUGGGGGUAUAGCUCAGUUGGUAGAGCGCCUGCUUUGCAAGCAGGAUGUCAGCGGUUCGAGUCCGCUUACCUCCACUGAUUACCACCUCUUUCAUAACUGGUAGAAAGGAAAUGUUUUGAGUUGUGAUUAUUAUUCUGAACGAAUCUAGCUUCCUAAUGAAAUCAUUAAGAUGCUGGACUCAUUGAAUUAAUUUCAUUGUUUUCAGAGAACCUUGACAACUGCAUAGAUUUUUUUAAAGACAAUAAGCAUCUUUAAUGAUGCAGAUUUAUUAUUUGUGCGAAUGCAUUAAUAACAAUUCUAUUAAGCUGAUGCUUCAAUUUUUGAAGUUAUU